RNAcentral lists this ribosomal RNA (455 nucleotides) under uncultured bacterium. RNAcentral's name for it is "bacterial SSU rRNA". It matches the Rfam family "Bacterial small subunit ribosomal RNA", at positions 791 to 1250 of the family's 1533-position model. The record is from RNAcentral.
UAGUCCACACUGUAAACGAUGAUUACUAGGUGUGGGGGGUCUGACCCCUUCCGUGCCGGAGUUAACACAAUAAGUAAUCCACCUGGGGAGUACGGCCGCAAGGUUGAAACUCAAAGGAAUUGACGGGGGCCCGCACAAGCAGUGGAGUAUGUGGUUUAAUUCGAAGCAACGCGAAGAACCUUACCAGGUCUUGACAUCCCUUGCAUAGCCUAGAGAUAGGUGAAGUCCUUCGGGACAAGGAGACAGGUGGUGCAUGGUUGUCGUCAGCUCGUGUCGUGAGAUGUUGGGUUAAGUCCCGCAACGAGCGCAACCCUUAUGUUUAGUUGCUACGCAAGAGCACUCUAGACAGACUGCCGUGGAUAACACGGAGGAAGGUGGGGAUGACGUCAAAUCAUCAUGCCCUUUAUGACCUGGGGCUACACACGUACUACAAUGGGUAAUUAACAAAGAGCAGC